RNAcentral lists this ribosomal RNA (253 nucleotides) under uncultured bacterium. Its description in RNAcentral is "partial 16S ribosomal RNA". It matches the Rfam family "Bacterial small subunit ribosomal RNA", at positions 524 to 776 of the family's 1533-position model. The record is from RNAcentral.
UACGUAGGGCCCGAGCGUUGUCCGGAAUCAUUGGGCGUAAAGAGCGUGUAGGCGGCCACUUAAGUCCUGCGUGAAAUCUUGCGGCUCAACCGCAAGCGGUCGUGGGAAACUGGGUGACUAGAGUGCGGUAGGGGAGAUUGGAAUUCCUGGUGUAGCGGUGGAAUGCGCAGAUAUCAGGAGGAACACCGAUGGCGAAGGCAGAUCUCUGGGCCGUAACUGACGCUGAGGAGCGAAAGCGUGGGGAGCGAACAGG